GAAAAAUUGCGCGCAUGGGUUG
This 22-nucleotide microRNA is filed under the name Caenorhabditis elegans. RNAcentral's name for it is "cel-miR-5546-3p". Lineage: Eukaryota; Metazoa; Nematoda; Chromadorea; Rhabditida; Rhabditidae. The record is from miRBase by way of RNAcentral.